AGAGUUUGAUCAUGGCUCAGAUUGAACGCUGGCGGCAGGCUUAACACAUGCAAGUCGAGCGGUAACAGAGAUAGCUUGCUAUCUGCUGACGAGCGGCGGACGGGUGAGUAACGCGUAGGAAUUUACCCAGUAGUGGGGGAUAGCCCGGAGAAAUUCGGAUUAAUACCGCAUACGCCCGCAUAACGUCUACGGACCAAAGGGGGGGAUCUUCGGACCUCUCGCCAUUUGAUUAGCCCAAGUGAGAUUAGCAAGUUGGUGAGGUAAAGACUCACCAAGGCGACGAUCUCUAGCUGGUUUGAGAGGAUGAUCAGCCACACUGGGACUGAGACACAGUCCAGACUCCUACGGGAGGCAGCAGUGGGGAAUAUUGCACAAUGGGCGAAAGCCUGAUGCAGCCAUGCCGCGUGUGUGAAGAAGGCUCUAGGGUUGUAAAGCACUUUAAGCUGGGAGGAAGGCCUAACGGUUAAUACCCGCUAGGAUUGACGUUACCAGCAGAAUAAGCACCGGCUAACUCCGUGCCAGCAGCCGCGGUAAUAAGGAGGGUGCAAGCGUUAAUCGGAAUUACUGGGCGUAAAGCGCGCGUAGGUGGUUGAUUAAGUUGGAUGUGAAAGCCCAGGGCUUAACCUUGGAACUGCAUCCGAUACUGGUCGGCUAGAGUACGGUAGAGGGAAGUGGAAUUUCCGGUGUAGCGGUGAAAUGCGUAGAGAUCUGAAGGAAUACCGGUGGCGAAGGCGGCCCCCUGGAUUGAUACUGACACUGAGGUGCGAAAGCGUGGGUAGCAAACAGGAUUAGAUACCCUGGUAGUCCACGCCGUAAACGAUGUCUACGCCGUUGGGAGGUAUAACCUUUUAGUGGCGCAGCUAACGCGAUAAGUUGACCGCCUGGGGAGUACGGCCGCAAGGCUAAAACUCAAAUGAAUUGACGGGGGCCCGCACAAGCGGUGGAGCAUGUGGUUUAAUUCGAUGCAACGCGAAGAACCUUACCAAGACUUGACAUCCUGAUAACUUUCUAGAAAUAGAUUGGUGCCUUCGGGAGAUCAGUGACAGGUGCUGCAUGGCUGUCGUCAGCUCGUGUCGUGAGAUGUUGGGUUAAGUCCCGUAACGAGCGCAACCCUUAUCCUUAUUUGCCAGCACUUCGGGUGGGAACUUUAAGGAGACUGCCGGUGACAAACCGGAGGAAGGUGGGGACGACGUCAAGUCAUCAUGGCCCUUACGUCUUGGGCUACACACGUGCUACAAUGGGGAGUACAGAGGGCUGCGAAGCCGCGAGGCGGAGCGAAUCUCAGAAAACCGGUCGUAGUCCGGAUUGGAGUCUGCAACUCGACUCCAUGAAGUCGGAAUCGCUAGUAAUCGCGAAUCAGAAUGUCGCGGUGAAUACGUUCCCGGGCCUUGUACACACCGCCCGUCACACCAUGGGAGUGGAUUGCACCAGAAGUAGGUAGCUUAACCUUCGGGGGGGCGCUUACCACGGUGUGAUUCAUGACUGGGGUGAAGUCGUAACAAGGUA
This 1506-nucleotide ribosomal RNA is filed under the name uncultured prokaryote. RNAcentral's name for it is "partial 16S ribosomal RNA". It matches the Rfam family "Bacterial small subunit ribosomal RNA". The record is from RNAcentral.